Molecule: small RNA, 107 nt
Filed under: Marmota monax (woodchuck)
Lineage: Eukaryota; Metazoa; Chordata; Mammalia; Rodentia; Sciuridae
Source: RNAcentral
GCCAGGCAUGGUGGCACAUGCCUAUAAUCCUAGUAACUUGGGAGGCUGAGGCAGGUGGAUCACAAGUUGGAGGCCAGCCUCAGCAACUUGGUAAGACCCUGUCUCAA